GAGGGAUCAAAAGUGGAAGAAUCU
This 24-nucleotide microRNA is filed under the name Medicago truncatula (barrel medic). Its description in RNAcentral is "mtr-miR5284b". Lineage: Eukaryota; Viridiplantae; Streptophyta; Magnoliopsida; Fabales; Fabaceae. The record is from miRBase by way of RNAcentral.